CCCUUAGAUGUUCUGGGCCGCACGCGCGCUACACUGAUGCAUGCAACGAGUUCUAUCCUUGGCCGGAAGGCCUGGGUAAUCUGUGAACGUGCAUCGUGAUAGGGAUAGAUUAUUGCAAUUAUUAAUCUUGAACGAGGAAUUCCUAGUAAACGCAAGUCAUCAGCUUGCAUUGAUUACGUCCCUGCCCUUUGUACACACCGCCCGUCGCACCUACCGAUAGAAGGUAAUGAUGAGCCCUCAGGAUUGUGGCCUCGUCGCGUCAGCGUCUUGGCUGCGAGAAUCUGUGCAAAUCCCUACCUUUAGAGGAAGGUGAAGUCGUAACA
RNAcentral lists this ribosomal RNA (323 nucleotides) under uncultured eukaryote. RNAcentral describes it as "partial 18S ribosomal RNA". It matches the Rfam family "Eukaryotic small subunit ribosomal RNA", at positions 1470 to 1796 of the family's 1831-position model. The record is from RNAcentral.